GGCCCCUCUGAGUGGCCACCCUCGCUACCGAAAGGGCCUGAAAAGCUCCUUCUUGCUAUUGGUUUUCCCCGAACAGCUUCAAGGUCUUUCCAGAGCGUCCCGAUGACAGUAACAAAGUCACCUUCCCUGACUGCACUCUACGAGGACCUCCCACGUGAAAAGCAGGCGCAGCGUCCCAGCUUGGUCCGGAGACCACCUCCUCUCCUGCCCCAGAGUUUAUUUCCUUGGUCCGCAGUGGCUGGUUCCACUCCCCCCACAAUGCGAGAUGGCCUGAGCCCGCUGGAGAAGAGCUGCCAGACACCCUUCAAGACUCCAAGAGGAGGCCAAGCUGGUCUUUCGACCUUUGCCUCUUCUCUCUGAGAGCAGUGGCCGAGUUCUGGGGGUAUCGCCCAAGGUGGCACAGCAGUGGCCUAGGAGAAGAUGAACUUGGCAUGAUCACUCCCUAUGCUUCCCCCUCCCACCACCCUCUCUCCCGCUCUCCCCCACCACGCCCUACACACACACACCCGCCAGAGCCCUCCUUACCAAGAAACAAAGGGAGUUUACAAGAUGGGUGCCUCUUGUGCCCCAGGAACAGAGAUGGUGAGAGGAGGUUGGGGCCGUUGGUUCUGCCUGCUGGAACUGGGCGCGGUUGUGAACCCAGAGUGGGGGCCACAGUACCCCUGGCAUCCUGAGCUGGAUGACCCCUUGUUGUCGGACUGUCCGGGCACUGUGAGUGGGUAAGCAGCUCUCCGGCUGCUACUCACCAAAUGCAAGUGUCGGGGGCACCCCUGGGCUGGGGCCACGAACAUUACCUCCAGGGCUGGCCUUUUAAGGGAGCUGAAUCCCACAUGGCUGACCACAGCUUAAAUCUCAGCCCCAGGAGCCUGUAAAACACCAGGAGCAUGCUUGAAGGAGGGAGAAAUGAAGAAGGGAUUGUGACGCGACCCUGCCUCAUUGUGGGGUGCUAUUUCUAGUCUACAGAGUUUGGCAGGUGGUGGGGUGUUCGGUGCUUGCAGUAGUGGGACGACACGGAGUAGGGAUAGGCCAGACCUGCGUUUCCCACAUCUGACCAGGAGUUUCCUAGAAGCCAAGAGGAAGCUGGAAGAGGGCUGGACUCAAGCAGCCUUGAAGGGGCACCACCCGAGAAGGUGGCCAAGGAGGCAAGGGAACCCCAGUCCAGAAGCUGAAUGACGCUCCUCUGGAGAUACACCUUCAUAACGACCCAGA
Molecule: long non-coding RNA, 1209 nt
Organism: Tupaia belangeri chinensis (Chinese tree shrew)
Lineage: Eukaryota; Metazoa; Chordata; Mammalia; Scandentia; Tupaiidae
Exons: 3
Source: RefSeq, a predicted model, not a curated record